CCAUAUCAAUUGCUCAGCUGCGUGCUUGGUUUUCCUGCUAACUCAACAUUCCCAUGAUAUUAUAUAAUGUCAUGCCGGUAGUUAGUUAGCAUUCAAAGUCUGCUUUUUCUCGGAAGCAUGCCCUUUCCGUGCAUCUUGGCUGUGAAAGCAAAGGCGAAAUACGAAAGUCUCGACUACUCGCUUCUUCCUCUCCUGUUUUCUAUUGUUAUUGUUGCUGUCUGCCUCUGCCGAGGGCCUCCGCUUCAGGAAAUGGCCUACCAUUGACAAUGGUUUUUAUAUAAAUAACAGAGAGCUCUCUCCUCUUAAUCUCUCCAAUUCUUAAGAGUCUCCUAAUAUAUUCUCUUUACACCCGAUGAAUAGUAGCUAAGAUUCUCCAUUCAUAUAUGCAAAUGCAGC
RNAcentral lists this small RNA (396 nucleotides) under Histoplasma capsulatum. RNAcentral describes it as "hypothetical RNA". Lineage: Eukaryota; Fungi; Ascomycota; Eurotiomycetes; Onygenales; Ajellomycetaceae. RNAcentral also lists the same sequence under 1 other name. The record is from RNAcentral.